RNAcentral lists this unclassified non-coding RNA (236 nucleotides) under plant metagenome. RNAcentral's name for it is "partial contains small subunit ribosomal RNA, internal transcribed spacer 1, and 5.8S ribosomal RNA". The record is from RNAcentral.
UUUCCGUAGGUGAACCUACGGAAGGAUCAUUACCGAGUGAGGGCCCUCUGGGUCCAACCUCCCACCCGUGUUUAUCGUACCUUGUUGCUUCGGCGGGCCCGCCUCACGGCCGCCGGGGGGCACCCGCCCCCGGGCCCGCGCCCGCCGAAGACACCAUUGAACGCUGUCUGAAGAUUGCAGUCUGAGCAUCUUAGCUAAAUCAGUUAAAACUUUCAACAACGGAUCUCUUGGUUCCG